UACGUAGGGAGCAAGCGUUGUCCGGAAUCAUUGGGCGUAAAGCGCGCGUAGGCGGCCCCGUAAGUCCGCUGUGAAAGUCAAAGGCUCAACCUUUGAAAGCCGGUGGAAACUGUGGGGCUAGAGUCCGGAAGAGGCGAGUGGAAUUCCUGGUGUAGCGGUGGAAUGCGCAGAUAUCAGGAGGAACACCAAUAGCGAAGGCAGCUCGCUGGGACGGUACUGACGCUAAGGCGCGAAAGCGUGGGGAUCAAACAGG
Molecule: ribosomal RNA, 253 nt
Filed under: uncultured bacterium
Lineage: Bacteria
Description: partial 16S ribosomal RNA
Rfam family: Bacterial small subunit ribosomal RNA
Source: RNAcentral